Molecule: ribosomal RNA, 498 nt
Filed under: uncultured bacterium
Lineage: Bacteria
Description: bacterial SSU rRNA
Rfam family: Bacterial small subunit ribosomal RNA
Source: RNAcentral
CUGGCUCAGGAUAAACGCUGGCGGCGCACAUAAGACAUGCAAGUCGAACGGGAACUUUAUUGAAGUUAUCUGAUAUAAAGUUCUAGUGGCGGACUGGUGAGUAAUGUAUAAGCAACCUGCCUAUAAGAGGGGAAUAACAGUGAGAAAUCAUUGCUAAUACCGCAUAAGCUGUGAGUAUGGCAUCAUACAAACAGAAAAGGAAGCAAUUCCGCUUAUAGAUGGGCUUAUAUCUGAUUAGCUAGUUGGUGAGGGUAACGGCCUACCAAGGCGAUGAUCAGUAGCCGGACUGAGAGGUUGAACGGCCACAUUGGGACUGAGAUACGGCCCAGACUCCUACGGGAGGCAGCAGUCGGGAAUAUUGCGCAAUGGAGGAAACUCUGACGCAGUGACGCCGCGUGCAGGAAGAAGGUUUUAGGAUUGUAAACUGCUUUAGACAGGGAAGAAACAAAUGACGGUACCUGUAAAAUAAGCUCCGGCUAACUACGUGCCAGCCGCGGC